GGACGAACGCUGGCGGCGUGCUAACACAUGCAAGUCGAACGAGGGUAUUAGGGAGCUUGCUCCUUGGAUAGCCGAGUGGCGAACGGGUGAGUAACGCGUGAGCAACCUGUCUCACGACAGGGGGAUAACGCACCGAAAGGUGUGCUAAUACCGCAUAAGACCACAGGGGGACAUCCUCCAGGGGUCAAAGGAGGAAUCCGGUGUGAGGUGGGCUCGCGUCUGAUUAGAUAGUUGGUGAGGCAACGGCUCACCAAGUCAACGAUCAGUAGCCGACCUGAGAGGGUGAUCGGCCACAUUGGGACUGAGACACGGCCCAGACUCCUACGGGAGGCAGCAGUGGGGAAUAUUGGGCAAUGGGCGCAAAAGCCUGACCCAGCAACGCCGCGUGAGGGAAGAAGGUUUUCGGAUUGUAAACCUCUGUCCUGUAUGAAGAGAAGAAGACGGUAGUACAGGAGGAAGCCCCGGCUAACUACGUGCCAGCCGCUGC
This 487-nucleotide ribosomal RNA is filed under the name uncultured bacterium. RNAcentral describes it as "bacterial SSU rRNA". It matches the Rfam family "Bacterial small subunit ribosomal RNA", at positions 27 to 518 of the family's 1533-position model. The record is from RNAcentral.